CGGCUAGUGAUUACACCACCAUUACUGAUGCAAGUUCUCCACAAUUCAAUAAAUAUACACAAAACAAGGAAUAAUUAUUGAUUACAAUCCCAUUUAGCUUGUAAUAAAACAUCAUAAAGAAAUUAAAGAUCUGGAGAUGAUGAACAUAAUAGAAAUCUUGAUCAUCCAUGAUUUUUCUUUCCCUGUAACAGAAAACAUUAAAAAUAAGUUAUAUUUAUACUAUAUACCAAAUAUGUCCUAAAUAAAUCACGUUAAGAGACUUUUACACUUCUUCUUGCAGCUGUAUGGUGGCCGCGGGCUCGAUUGGGUGGUGGCCUGUACCUAUGAGUCUCUGGACCUCUAUAAUCAAUGUCAUAAAUCUGUGGAUCCAACACUUUUUCCACCUUCAAUCCGCCUGCAAAACCACCAUUUUUGUUAGUUAAUGAGUUGACAGUUAGUCCACUACUUCAUCUACAAGCUUAAAUUCUUAAAGACGAGAUUGAGUAUCACACUCGUUUAAAAGUUUAAACUUGCUACCAACCUCUUGAAGUCGAAGAGCAUGGAGUAAUGAGGAGAAGAACUAGAAGUAUCAUGCCAAUAAUGCUAGCUUUCGAUUCCAUGGCAUUCCAAAUUGAGGUGAACAGAAGCUAGCUAUUUCUUGUUCUUGUUGUGUAUAUAUGGAUAACAGAAAUCUGCAGAUAUAAUCAUGGAAAAAGCCCAUGCACUUGGGUUAAUUAAGGCAGUGAACAACUUUUAGCAAUUGAAACUGUCCCCAUCCACACAGCAAUUGAUUACAAGGAUCCGAUGGAGAUGUGUUGGGUUGGAACAUUUAUGUAAAGAGACCAUUAGGGUUUGUUUGGA
This 840-nucleotide long non-coding RNA is filed under the name Olea europaea (common olive). RNAcentral's name for it is "long non-coding RNA (OEUR_LNC013755)". Lineage: Eukaryota; Viridiplantae; Streptophyta; Magnoliopsida; Lamiales; Oleaceae. The record is from RNAcentral.